GGAGUCUCGCACAGAUGCAUAUCAAUAAGCGGAGGAAAAGAAACUAACAAGGAUUCCCCUAGUAACGGCGAGUGAAGCGGGAAGAGCUCAAAUUUGAAAUCUUAAAGGGUUUCCCUUUACGAAUUGUAGUUUAAAGAAGUGUUUUCUGUUGAGGUUUUGGUAAAAGUUCUUUGGAAUAGGACAUCAUAGAGGGUGAGAAUCCCGUAUUUGACCUUUACUUUCAACUUUGUGAUACACUUUCAAAGAGUCGGAUUGUUUGGGAAUGCAGUCCAAAAUGGGUGGUAAAUUUCAUCUAAAGCUAAAUAUUGGCGAGAGACCGAUAGCGAACAAGUACCGUGAGGGAAAGAUGAAAAGAACUUUGAAAAGAGAGUUAAACAGUACGUGAAAUUGUCAAAAGGGAAGCGUUUGACACCAGUGUUGUUUUUCUGAAAAUCAAUUAAAGAACUGUUUAUGCUAAGUUGUUUAGACUUUAUCAGCUAUCUGUUUAGUUUUGAGCUUUUCCUUUAAUGCACUUUUCAGUUAACAAGUCAACAUCAAUUUCUUUUGCUGUAAAAAAGCUUGAGGAAGGUGGCUUGAGAUUCGUCUUAAGUGUUUAUAGCCUCUUGCCUAUGCAGUCGGAGAGAUUGAGGUCUGCAGCGUAGAUCCUUCGGGGCUAAAUGCAUUUGUGCUAAGUUAUAGCAUUUUAUAGACAGCUUGUUGACUAUGAUUUGUCUUGUAGCUUACUCGCUUAUGUUAUUUUACCUACGCUUAGGAUGUUGAUCUGUAGUGCGUGCGC
Molecule: ribosomal RNA, 775 nt
Filed under: uncultured Neocallimastigales
Lineage: Eukaryota; Fungi; Neocallimastigomycota; Neocallimastigomycetes; Neocallimastigales
Description: partial large subunit ribosomal RNA
Rfam family: Eukaryotic large subunit ribosomal RNA
Source: RNAcentral